GGGGUUGUGGCUCAGUGGUAGAGUGCUUGUCUAGCAUACAUGAGGCACUGGGUUUGAUCCUCAGCACCA
Molecule: transfer RNA, 69 nt
Filed under: Ictidomys tridecemlineatus (thirteen-lined ground squirrel)
Lineage: Eukaryota; Metazoa; Chordata; Mammalia; Rodentia; Sciuridae
Description: Spermophilus tridecemlineatus (thirteen-lined ground squirrel) tRNA
Rfam family: tRNA
About the family: Transfer RNA (tRNA) molecules are approximately 80 nucleotides in length. Their secondary structure includes four short double-helical elements and three loops (D, anti-codon, and T loops). Further hydrogen bonds mediate the characteristic L-shaped molecular structure. tRNAs have two regions of fundamental functional importance: the anti-codon, which is responsible for specific mRNA codon recognition, and the 3' end, to which the tRNAs corresponding amino acid is attached (by aminoacyl-tRNA synthetases). tRNAs cope with the degeneracy of the genetic code in two manners: having more than one tRNA (with a specific anti-codon) for a particular amino acid; and 'wobble' base-pairing, i.e. permitting non-standard base-pairing at the 3rd anti-codon position.
Source: Rfam by way of RNAcentral